CAGUGCCGUAGGGAUCUCGUUGGCGGACCCCCUGUAGACGGCUCAGAAAUGAGCCGAGCUCCGGCGUGGUGAAGGUCUGCCUGUGAGGACUACAAAAUCCACAGCGAUGAGCCCAGCGCCGCCGUCGUGUUCAUCACGCCGCCGCUUAUUCUGCUCAUUCAAAUGCCGCCGCCUUGCUCAUUAGCUCUUUGACCUCGGGUCAUGAGCACGAGACUCGUCAGGAAAGGAAGAAGGUGAGGAAAAAGGAAGGUAGGAUAAAACAAAUGGGUACAACUUUAAAGCAUGUGAUGCACAUGGGGGUAGUCUGUUGCCUAGCAACAUGGAAUCCAAGACACGUUUAAAGCAUGAAAAGUCCACAUGAAGACACACAGCACCACAUGCUUGCACAACAACACCGCGUUUGAUGCAGCGACGGGGCUGCCAUGAUGGAAGGCUUUUCCCAGCCUCUGCGCCCAUGGAGGUAAAAGUGGCGCGAUGAGGAGGAGGACCAGGAGGAGAAUGUUAAAUAUGUCCUUCAGACCCCAGGGGAGGAAGAGGAGAGAAAGGAGCGAGCUGUUUCUUCUUCACCAUUUCAAAAGCCACCUUCCAUAUUUAUCAUUCUACAAAAUGACCUUUGAGCCCUGCCGACAGCGGCGAUAGCUAGCGCCAAUUGUGACAAAUUCAACUGAGAUUAUUGAUGGCAAAAUAUCAGAAUAAAUCGGCGCAAACCCUUGCAAAGACACCCAAAGCAUGUCAUCAUGUUUACAAUACAUGCAGGAAACACUAGGAAAUACACACUUCUAUCGUUGCGCUCAAACCAGAGCCCUGCACCGAACCCCAAUACUGACCAAGACACAUUUGCUUAUAUUGUGCCAUCUCUAACUUUAAACCUAAACUCUGACACAGGUGUCAAACGCAAGGCCCAUGCGGCCUGCCACAUCAUUUUAUGCGGCAAAUCAUGUGUGUCAAUUUCCAUAAAUCUGUACCAAAAAUAAAAAUUGUCACUGUAAUAGA
Molecule: long non-coding RNA, 993 nt
Organism: Phycodurus eques (leafy seadragon)
Lineage: Eukaryota; Metazoa; Chordata; Actinopteri; Syngnathiformes; Syngnathidae
Exons: 2
Source: RefSeq, a predicted model, not a curated record